CCUACGGGGGGCAGCAGUGGGGGAUAUUGCACAAUGGGGGAAACCCUGAUGCAGCGACGCCGCGUGGGUGAAGAAGCGCCUCGGCGCGUAAAGCCCUGUCAGCAGGGAAGAAAAUGACGGUACUUGAAGAAGAAGCCCCGGCUAACUACGUGCCAGUAGCCGCGGUAAUACGUAGGGGGCAAGCGCUAUCCGGGUUGACUGUGUGUAAGGGGGGCGCAGCCGGCGAUGCAAGCCAGGGGUGAAAGUCCGGGGCCCAACCCCGGGACUGCUCUUGAAACUGCGUGGCUAGGGUGCAGGAGGGGCAGGCGGAAUGCCUGGUGUAGCGGUGAAAUGCGUAGAUAUCAGGAGGAACACCGGUGGCGAAGGCGGCCUGCUGGACUGCAACUGACGUUGAGGCCCGAAGGCGUGGGGAGCAAACGGGAUUAGAUACCCUUGUAGUC
This 440-nucleotide ribosomal RNA is filed under the name uncultured bacterium. Its description in RNAcentral is "partial 16S ribosomal RNA". It matches the Rfam family "Bacterial small subunit ribosomal RNA", at positions 338 to 795 of the family's 1533-position model. The record is from RNAcentral.